Molecule: ribosomal RNA, 450 nt
Filed under: uncultured bacterium
Lineage: Bacteria
Description: bacterial SSU rRNA
Rfam family: Bacterial small subunit ribosomal RNA
Source: RNAcentral
GUGGGGAAUAUUGCACAAUGGGGGAAACCCUGAUGCAGCCAUGCCGCGUGUGUGAAGAAGGCCUUCGGGUUGUAAAGCACUUUCAGUUGUGAGGAAAGGUUGACGUUUAAUACGCGUUAACUGUGACGUUAGCAACAGAAGAAGGACCGGCUAACUCCGUGCCAGCAGCCGCGGUAAUACGGAGGGUCCGAGCGUUAAUCGGAAUUACUGGGCGUAAAGCGCGCGUAGGCGGCUUGGUCAGUCAGAUGUGAAAUCCCCGGGCUCAACCUGGGAAUUGCACCUGAUACUGCCAGGCUAGAGUACAGAAGAGGGUGGUGGAAUUUCCUGUGUAGCGGUGAAAUGCGUAGAUAUAGGAAGGAACAUCAGUGGCGAAGGCGGCCACCUGGUCUGAUACUGACGCUGAGGUGCGAAAGCGUGGGGAGCAAACAGGAUUAGAAACCCUAGUAGUCC